UCAAUAUUUUCAAGGGGGGGAGGGAGCAGAAGAUGGAAAGCGAAGGUUGGGACUGUCGCUGGCCUCGUCGGGCAUGUGCACGUCCUGCUUUCCUUUUUUUGUCGAUGUUCUCUCGCUCCUAUGAACAACCUUCCCACCUGUGCACCAUUUGUAGGCUGCUCGAAAGAGGAGUCUAUGUUUUCUUGCAUCACGCUCGAUAUACCGGAUGUCUAUAGAAUGUGAAUGUGUUUGAAUGCACACAACUUUCAGCAACGGAUCUCUUGGCUCUCGCAUCGAUGAAGAACGCAGCGAAUUGCGAUAAGUAAUGUGAAUUGCAGAUUUUCAGUGAAUCAUCGAAUCUUUGAACGCAUCUUGCGCUCCUUGGUAUUCCGAGGAGCAUGCCUGUUUGAGUGUCAUCGAACUUUCAACCACGUCUUGAUCGAUUUCAAGGCGGAUGGCUUGGAUUUGGGAGAUUGCUGGCCCGUUCGGGUCAGCUCUUCUGAAAUGCAUUAGCAAGCGGGGGAUGGCAAGUCUUUUUCGACGUGCACGGCUUUCGACGUGAUAAUGAUCGUCGUGGCUGGAGCGUCGGACAUGCAUGGAUCGAAUCCGACCUUGCUUCUAAUCCUAAUGGCUGCCGACCCAGCCCUUCGAGGAUCGCUCGGCUUACCACUACACUAGCUGGGGGCAGACCUUAGGGAAAUGUUGGGGUGCCGUGGUUUCGAUGCUGACC
Molecule: small RNA, 709 nt
Filed under: uncultured Boletus
Lineage: Eukaryota; Fungi; Basidiomycota; Agaricomycetes; Boletales; Boletaceae
Description: eukaryotic LSU rRNA
Rfam family: 5.8S ribosomal RNA (bases 241-395)
Source: RNAcentral